This 440-nucleotide ribosomal RNA is filed under the name uncultured bacterium. Its description in RNAcentral is "partial 16S ribosomal RNA". It matches the Rfam family "Bacterial small subunit ribosomal RNA", at positions 338 to 795 of the family's 1533-position model. The record is from RNAcentral.
CCUACGGGUGGCAGCAGUGGGGGAUAUUGCACAAUGGGGGAAACCCUGAUGCAGCGACGCCGCGUGUGGGAAGACGGUCCUCUGGAUUGUAAACCACUGUCCCCAGGGACGAAGAUGACGGUACCUGGGGAGGAAGCUCCGGCAAACUACGUGCCAGCAGCCGCGGUAAUACGUAGGGAGCGAGCGUUGUCCGGAUUUACGGGGGGUAAAGGGAGCGGAGUGGGGACUGCAAGUUGGGUGUCAAUUCUAGCGUCUCAACCGGUAGCCGCACUCAAAAAUGGAAUUCGUGAGUGAAGUAGAGGCAGGCGGAAUUCCUAGUGUAGCGGUGAAAUGCGUAGAUAUUAGGAGGAACACCAGUGGCGAAGGCGGCCUGCUGGGCUUUUACUGACGCUGAGGCUCGAAAGUGUGGGGAGCAAACAGGAUUAGAUACCCGAGUAGUC